This 339-nucleotide ribosomal RNA is filed under the name Tetraclita sp. MPL-2014. RNAcentral's name for it is "partial 12S ribosomal RNA". The record is from RNAcentral. Lineage: Eukaryota; Metazoa; Arthropoda; Thecostraca; Balanomorpha; Tetraclitidae.
UGUUACUUUUAAUGAAAAGAUUUUGGAGUAGUAAUAUUAAUGAAAUUUAACGGAUUUGGCGGCAAGAUAGCCCCUUAGAGGAACCUGCCCUGUAAACGAUGAACCACGACGGACUCUACUUUUUUUGGUAAUCAGUUUGUAUAUCGCUGUUGUCAGUUAGAUUCUUGAGAAUAUUUUCGUUCAUGAAAAGUUCAUUGACUUCAAGUAAAGGUGCAGCUUAUAAGAAAGAUAGAGGUGGGUUACAUUUAUAAGAAUAAGACGGAGAGGAUGAUUGAAAUAGUCCUUGAAGGUGGAUUUAACUGUAAAACUUAAUUAGGUUUGGUGAGAGCUCUAUCUUGU